This 483-nucleotide ribosomal RNA is filed under the name uncultured bacterium. RNAcentral describes it as "partial 16S ribosomal RNA". It matches the Rfam family "Bacterial small subunit ribosomal RNA", at positions 28 to 507 of the family's 1533-position model. The record is from RNAcentral.
GAUGAACGCUGGCGGCGUGCCUAACACAUGCAAGUCGAACGGAGUCGUUUUGGAAAUCUCUUCGGAGAUGGAAUUCUCGACUUAGUGGCGGACGGGUGAGUAACGCGUGAGCAAUCUGCCUUUAAGAGGGGGAUAACAGUCGGAAACGGCUGCUAAUACCGCAUAAAGCAUUAAAUUCGCAUGUUUUUGAUGCCAAAGGAGCAAUCCGCUUUUAGAUGAGCUCGCGUCUGAUUAGCUAGUUGGCGGGGUAACGGCCCACCAAGGCGACGAUCAGUAGCCGGACUGAGAGGUUGAACGGCCACAUUGGGACUGAGACAUGGCCCAGACUCCUACGGGAGGCAGCAGUGGGGAAUAUUGCGCAAUGGGGGAAACCCUGACGCAGCAACGCCGCGUGAUUGAAGAAGGCCUUCGGGUUGUAAAGAUCUUUAAUCAGGGACGAAACAAAUGACGGUACCUGAAGAAUAAGCUCCGGCUAACUACGUG